Molecule: ribosomal RNA, 253 nt
Filed under: uncultured bacterium
Lineage: Bacteria
Description: partial 16S ribosomal RNA
Rfam family: Bacterial small subunit ribosomal RNA
Source: RNAcentral
UACGUAGGGUGCGAGCGUUAAUCGGAAUUACUGGGCGUAAAGCGUGCGCAGGCGGCUUUGCAAGACAGAUGUGAAAUCCCCGGGCUCAACCUGGGAACUGCAUUUGUAACUGCAAGGCUAGAGUACGGCAGAGGGGGAUGGAAUUCCGCGUGUAGCAGUGAAAUGCGUAGAUAUGCGGAGGAACACCAAUGGCGAAGGCAAUCCCCUGGGCCUGUACUGACGCUCAUGCACGAAAGCGUGGGGAGCAAACAGG